AACGUAGGGGUCGAGCGUUAUCCGGAAUUACUGGGCGUAAAGCGCGUGCAGGCGGCCUGACAAGUCGGACGUGAAAGCUCCUGGCUCAACUGGGAGAGGCCGUUCGAAACUGUGGGGCUAGAGGAUGGUAGAGGCGAGUGGAAUUCCCGGUGUAGUGGUGAAAUGCGUAGAUAUCGGGAGGAACACCAGAGGCGAAAGCGGCUCGCUGGGCCAUUACUGACGCUCAGACGCGAAAGCCAGGGGAGCGAACGGG
RNAcentral lists this unclassified non-coding RNA (253 nucleotides) under uncultured Anaerolineae bacterium. Its description in RNAcentral is "contains 16S-23S intergenic spacer region". It matches the Rfam family "Bacterial small subunit ribosomal RNA", at positions 524 to 776 of the family's 1533-position model. The record is from RNAcentral. Lineage: Bacteria; Bacillati; Chloroflexota; Anaerolineae.